RNAcentral lists this ribosomal RNA (253 nucleotides) under uncultured bacterium. RNAcentral describes it as "partial 16S ribosomal RNA". It matches the Rfam family "Bacterial small subunit ribosomal RNA", at positions 524 to 776 of the family's 1533-position model. The record is from RNAcentral.
UACGUAGGGGGCUAGCGUUGUCCGGAAUCAUUGGGCGUAAAGAGCGCGUAGGCGGCCAGAUAAGUCCGGUGUGAAAGUCAAAGGCUCAACCUUUGAAUGCCGCUGGAAACUGUCUGGCUAGAGUCCGGGAGGGGCGAGUGGAAUUCCUGGUGUAGCGGUGAAAUGCGUAGAUAUCGGAAGGAACAUCAGUGGCGAAAGCGACUUCCUGGACCAAUACUGACGCUCAUGUGCGAAAGCGUGGGGAGCAAACAGG